Molecule: transfer RNA, 87 nt
Filed under: Caudoviricetes sp.
Lineage: Duplodnaviria; Heunggongvirae; Uroviricota; Caudoviricetes
Description: tRNA-Ser
Rfam family: tRNA
About the family: Transfer RNA (tRNA) molecules are approximately 80 nucleotides in length.
Source: RNAcentral
GGAGGCAUGGAGUAAAGGCUAUCUCAAGGGAUUGCUAAUCCCUCCUGCGCUUAUAGCGUAGUACAGGUUCGAGUCCUGUUGUCUCCG